UAAACUACAUAGCCUACCAACCCCUAGCAGCUUUCCUUGCCGAGGAUGGAAAAAACAAGAUCUGGUCAGUGAACGAACUCAGGCAAGGCACCAACAGCAUACUGCUUGACGAUGACGAUCAGUGUGUUGCCUGGCCAGCAUGACCCUUUCUUCAAUUCUGACCAGGCUCUCAGAUUGGAACGUGAGAGCUGCUAAUUCAUGGAAGGUGCGGAGAAGCCAUAAACUCCAAGAAAGCUAAUGGUUUGAUGCAGAACGGUAAGGCAAACCCCACAUGUUGAUGUUCUUUUGUUUUGUUUUUUGUUUUUUUUUAUAGGACCUGUUGAUGUUCUUGAAACUGAGGAACAAAUGCAAGCUGAAGAGAAGCAUGUGCAACUGUGCAUUCAUGAUCCAGUUGCAGGCCGGAUGCCUAUGACCAAGUGGCGCCGAAAUCAAUGAUACUACCUUGUUUGAUUCAAAAGAAACUGAACAAACGAUUCCUGACGAAAAGAAGGCUGGCAGAAGAACUAUAGAUUGUACGGUCCAAUCAAAGUGAUUCAACAUGUACGUGCGCUUUUGUUUAUGUUUUGACCAGCAAAUUUUCAGUUCAAUAUUGCUCCUUGUGAGCCGGCAAAGAAAAACACUACCAACCUUGUGCAUGUAUAUCCCUCUUUCUUUACUUUUUUUCUUUUUGAGAGGAAGACAGGAUGAACAUGUCUAUGGGUUUGAGUUCACUAGGACAAAGACAAACAUUAUAUUGUUGGUAA
Panicum hallii is the source of this 743-nucleotide long non-coding RNA. RefSeq lists it as uncharacterized. The transcript has 2 exons. Lineage: Eukaryota; Viridiplantae; Streptophyta; Magnoliopsida; Poales; Poaceae. The record is from RefSeq and is a predicted model, not a curated record.